CUGGCUCAGGAUGAACGCUGGCGGCGUGCUUAACACAUGCAAGUCGAACGAAGCACUUUAUUACGAUCUCUUCGGAGUGACGA
Molecule: ribosomal RNA, 83 nt
Filed under: Eubacterium oxidoreducens
Lineage: Bacteria; Bacillati; Bacillota; Clostridia; Eubacteriales; Eubacteriaceae
Description: 16S rRNA. Bacterial SSU
Source: RNAcentral